GGUGAACGCUGGCGGCGUGCCUAACACAUGCAAGUCGAGCGGUGCAGUUUGAAGCUUCGGUGGAAAGCUGCAUAGCGGCGGACGGGUGAGGAAAACGUAGGAACGUGCCCCUUGGAGUUGGAUAGCCACGGGAAACUGUGGGUAAACCGACAUAGACUCGAGAGAGUAAAGGCCGAAAGGCGCCAAGGGAGCGGCCUGCGGCCCAUCAGGUAGUUGGUAGUGUAAAGGACUACCAAGCCGACGACGGGUAGCCGGUCUGAGAGGAUGGCCGGCCACAAGGGCACUGAGAGACGGGCCCUACUCCUACGGGAGGCAGCAGUGGGGAUAUUGCACAAUGGGGGAAACCCUGAUGCAGCGACGCCGCGUGGAGGAAGAAGGUUUUCGGAUUGUAAACUCCUGUCGUUAGGGACGAUAAUGACGGUACCUAACAAGAAAGCACCGGCUAAACUACGUGCCAGCAGCCGCGGUAAGGCUACGAGA
RNAcentral lists this ribosomal RNA (480 nucleotides) under uncultured bacterium. RNAcentral's name for it is "bacterial SSU rRNA". It matches the Rfam family "Bacterial small subunit ribosomal RNA", at positions 28 to 530 of the family's 1533-position model. The record is from RNAcentral.